CUGCUACUCUCUUUCUCCUCCUUUUCACUUUUCUCCUCCUCCGCUUUUUCUGGCUGUUCCUCCUCCUCUGUUGCAGAAGGUGAUGUGGUCUUCUCUGUGCUGCCUAUGCUGCCAUCUUCCUCUGAAGGAAAACCCUGCUAAAGUACUGAGAAACUUGCAUGGUGCCUAGAGGUAAACACGGAAAACCGCAAAGACAAACUUCAAACCAGGAACUCUUCUGUAGGAGCACUCUGAAUGCAUAUGUCACUGAUCUCUGCAAAGUUUUGCCAUGAAGCCCACAGUCCACAAUGCUACUGAAUAAUACAUUCGACAUCGACUAUCCAUGCGACGCUGCAACACCACGCGUUACUCACCAGUGGACAUUUUGAGGUUGACCGGUCACCUUUUCCAAAUGCAGAUGACAGACCCCCUGUAAACCGAGGCAUUUUUCUCAACAAGCAAGACAUGCUUGUUGCGUGGCGAUAUGCUGUGAAGUGCACGGAAAGCACGCUACAUCGACGGCUGCCACUACCACAAGCAUGGACAAUUUGGACAUAAACAUCACCAUGCCAUCCCGCAACCUCCAACAGCUAAAAGGGCUGAGAGAGGGAAAGACCCCCUUCACGCAUGCGCGCCUCUACGCGGGCUGAACCACUAUUCUGUAGGGGGGAGGGCGAACAGGGCGAAAGCGAGAACUAUUGCACCUACUUAUUU
This is a long non-coding RNA of Ornithodoros turicata, 693 nucleotides long. RefSeq lists it as uncharacterized. The record is from RefSeq and is a predicted model, not a curated record. The transcript has 3 exons. NCBI's taxonomy places the organism in Eukaryota, Metazoa, Arthropoda, Arachnida, Ixodida, Argasidae.